UCGGUUCGUCUGCUUCACGGAGGCAUUCUUCUUCCAAGCGGGAUCUCAGGCAAGAUGAUCAUUUCCCCAGAUACCAUUAGUAUCAUUUCCAUGCUAGUUAUCGCUUCUAUCGUUUAUGUCUCGAUGCCUACCACAUGUUAAAUAUCAGCCUCUCAACAAUGCCAUGAAACCUUUAACCUGUUCAACCUAGCAAAACCACUGAUUGGCCAUGUUACUGCUUGCUUAACCCUGUUGUUAGCGUUGCUAGUUGCAGGUGUAGAUGCUUCCAUGUGAUAACAUGGGUUCCUUGUUAUAUCACCAUAUUAAAUGCUAUCUAAUUUAAUGCACCUUAUAUACUUGGUAAAAGGUGGAAGACUCGGCAUUUCUAGCCUGGUGUUUUGUUCCACCUUUGCCCCCUUAGUUUCGGCUACUGGUGUUAUGUUCCAUAAUCGAGCGCUCCUAACACGAUCGGGGUUGUUAUGGGGACCCCCUUGAUAAUUCGUUUUAGAUUAAAGCUGGUCUGGCAAGGCCCAACUUUGGUUCUACAUUUGCCCAACAUAAUAAUUCUGUUAAAUUGAAAUGCAUAGGGAGUUAGCGCUACCCGAGGAGUAAUUUUACAUAAACAGGGGGGGCCAGUGCCGAUGGUGUUGGUCCCAAACGGUCUGCCUGNNNNNNNNNNNNNNNNNNNNNNNNNNNNNNNNNNNNNNNNNNNNNNNNNNNNNNNNNNNNNNNNNNNNNNNNNNNNNNNNNNNNNNNNNNNNNNNNNNNNGAAUCUCGUGUAGUUUCUUUUUCUCUUGUUGUUUGUAUGUGUUGAAGUGCUCGUAGCCGCUGUUGCACACAUAUCGCAUUCAUGCCAUCAUAUCUUGCGGUGCUUGUAACUUUUGUUCCGUAGCUCCGUUGGAGAUGUUCUUUACGUGUAGGUUGCUUGCCUUGACGCGUAGAAUCACAUGAACCUAUUUGUUUUGCUGUUUAACAACCAAUUAAAUGCAUUAGUUCGGAUCUGGACAGAAUUGUAAAUUAACAUGUGAGGUCGUCUCGGAGAUGCUAUAUGUCAUUUCCGACCUCAUUUAAAAUGCCUAGAUAGGUAGUUUAAUUUCCGCUUCACCUCUUGCAUGUUUAACCACAUUUAAUAUUGCCGCGUAAAUAACCGGGAGUGAACUAAAUAAUUACCGUGGAGUUUCGUCAAUAUGCAACUCGUGCAUAUUGAACUUCACUUAAGGUGUAGUGUUUGAUUGUGUGAUUUGUCAUGCCGUGACUUGCAUGUAUUCCGUAGCUCAUGCAUCAUAUGUGUUGUGCAUCGUGUGCUGAAUAUCGUGUGUUGAUGCUUGUCUCCGGUUUCCCCGUCUCGAUAGAGUUCCGCAUCGUGCCGGAUUGUGAGGACCCGUUCGACUACGUCGGUUCGUCUGCUUCACGGAGGCAUUCUUCUUCCAAGCGGGAUCUCAGGCAAGAUGAUCAUUUCCCCAGAUACCAUUACUAUCAUUGCCAUGCUAGUUAUCGCUUCUAUCGUUUAUGUCUCGAUGCCUACCACAUGUUAAAUAUUAGCCUCUCAACAAUGCCAUGAAACCUUUAACCUGUUCAACCUAGCAAAACCACUGAUUGGCCAUGUUACUGCUUGCUUAACCCUGUUGUUAGCGUUGCUAGUUGCAGGUGUAGAUGCUUCCAUGUGAUAACAUGGGUUCCUUGUUAUAUCACCAUAUUAAAUGCUAUCUAAUUUAAUGCACCUUAUAUACUUGGUAAAAGGUGGAAGGCUCGGCCUUUCUAGCCUGGUGUUUUGUUCCACCUUUGCCCCCUUAGUUUCGGCUACCGGUGUUAUGUUCCAUAAUCGAGCGCUCCUAACACGAUCGGGGUUGUUAUGGGGACCCCCUUGAUAAUUCGUUUUAGAUUAAAGCUGGUCUGGCAAGGCCCAACUUUGGUUCUACAUUUUCCCAACAUAAUAAUUCUGUUAAAUUGAAAUGCAUAGGGAGUUAGCGCUACCCGAGGAGUAAUUUUACAUAAACAGGGGGGGCAGUGCUGAUGGUGUUGGUCCCAAACGGUCUGCCUGCGGGGCCACGGCGAGGAAACUCGAGGUUUGGCACCUGUAGCUAGUUCCAUCCGUCGUGUCCUGAGAACGAGAUACGCGGCUCCUAUCGGGUACGUCGACACGUCGGGCGGCCUUGCUGGAUUAGUUUUACCUUUGACGAGAUAUCUUGUGCAUCGGGAUUCCGGUGAUGCUUUGGGUAAUCUCAGAGUUGAGGUUUUCCACUAGGGAAUCCGACGAGAUCGCGAGCUUCGUGAUUGAGGGUUUCUAUGCGGCUUGUGGUAAUUUGUGAUGGACUAGUUGGAGCACCCCUGCAGGGUCAAAUCUUUCGGAAAGUCGUGCCCGCGGUUAUGUGGCAACGUGGAUACUUUGUUUAACACUGGUUCUAUAUAACUCAAAGUUAAUUAAUUAAAACAUGUCUACUGUGUGCGUAACCGUGACUGUCUCUUUCGUGAGUUCUUUCUCCGAUCGAGGACACAGAGGGGUUAUGACUGACAUAGGUAGGUGUUCAGGAUCAUUCUUUUGGUCAUCUGUAGUUCACGCCCGCUAUGCGUAGUUCUUCCCCCUCUUUCUUCUGGUACACGUAAGUUAGCCACCUCAUAUAUGCUUAGCCGCUGCUGCAACCUCACCACUUAACCAUGCCUCACCCAUUAAGCUUUGCUAGUCUUGAUACCUUUGGAAAUGAGAUUGCUGAGUCCCCUGUGGCUCACAGAUUACUACAACAUCAGUUGCAGGUACAGGUAAAGGUUACAUGACGCGAGCGCGUUGAUUGUUCAUUUGGAGUUGCCACUUCUUCUUCUUCUUCAUCGAUCUAGGAUGGGUUCCAGGCCGGCAGCCUGGGAUAGCAAGGAUGGACGUCGUUCUUCUUUUGUCGUUUGUUUUCGUCCGUAGUCGGACCCUGCUCUUAUUCUUGAUGAU
This 2914-nucleotide long non-coding RNA is filed under the name Hordeum vulgare. RNAcentral's name for it is "long non-coding RNA (HVUL_LNC021094)". The record is from RNAcentral. Lineage: Eukaryota; Viridiplantae; Streptophyta; Magnoliopsida; Poales; Poaceae.